GAGACAGCAGUAGCCGCGGGAAUACGAAGGGUGCAAGCGUUACUCGGAAUUACUGGGCGUAAAGCGUGCGUAGGUGGUGGUUUAAGUCCGUUGUGAAAGCCCUGGGCUCAACCUGGGAAUUGCAGUGGAUACUGGGUCACUAGAGUGUGGUAGAGGAUAGUGGAAUUUCCGGUGUAGCAGUGAAAUGCGUAGAGAUCGGAAGGAACAUCUGUGGCGAAGGCGACUAUCUGGGCCAACACUGACACUGAGGCACGAAAGCGUGGGGAGCAAACAGGAUUAGAUACCCCCGUAGUCCCUGUCUCUUAUAC
This 308-nucleotide ribosomal RNA is filed under the name uncultured bacterium. Its description in RNAcentral is "partial 16S ribosomal RNA". It matches the Rfam family "Bacterial small subunit ribosomal RNA", at positions 505 to 807 of the family's 1533-position model. The record is from RNAcentral.